GGGCAAAGGCCGAGGGAAUGGACCCGUUGGUAUGGAGGGGAGGGGGAGCUGGACUCCCUGUCUGUCAGCAGCCUCCUGCCACCCCAGGGCUCAGUAUAGCCCCCGAGUGAUGCUGUUGGCGUGAAGGAGUGGUAUGGCCUGUGUGUCUACCAAGAGCCAUGGGGGCCAUUUCGUGUUACCUCACAGUAACUCACUUGGGCCGUGGUGAGUGAAGGUGCCAGUAACGAGGCUGGAGAUAGCCAGCGUUUCCCAACUCUUAAGGAAAAAAACGUCAUCAAGGCUGUUGUUAACGACAUUCACCCUCCUCGCCUUGCUAGUAGGGUUUCCUUCUCACACUGGCUACACUACCCCAGUGUUGUGUGCUGAAGAUGAGUCAUGCUGCAGAAAAGCCAGAUGUUCCUAUUUGACAGUGGUCAGUGCAUCUCCCUUGUGGCAGGUUGGCAAAGGAGCAGGAUCAAGAAUCAAUAAGGUGCAGAGGGAAAAAAAACUGUGACUGAAAAGAUAGAGGAGAGAGAGGAAUUAGUCACUUUCUGUAUGUAGAAAUCUUCAGAAUGGAGUAAUCUCACACAUAUUCAGCCAAACAGAGAUAAAGAGGCACAUUCUCAAAUAGAUGUCAGCGCCUUGAACCAUGCAAUUGCCACCGGACUCUGGGAGCUGCACAGGCAAAGUCCAACACACCGAGUUGAGAAAGUAAGACCAAGGGCCUGAUCCUGCACCGACUGAAGUCCAUACAUCUGAUCCUUUUCUCACUUAUACUGACUUCAAUGGAGUAUUCUCUUGGCUCAUGCCAGAGCAGACUGCGGUCCAGGAAAGCACUCGGGUGAGCAGUGGCCACUUGCUGCAGGUGUUUCUUGCCCAAGUGCUUUGCUAGACUGGGACCUCACGGAAGGAAUAACAUGGUCCAACAGGCAUGGGAUUAAAACUCUUAGAAUGUCUUGAUUUUAUUUCCUGGCUCAUUUAAGCUGUAAUGCCAAAAAAUAAUAACAACAAUCUUGAUUUUUUUAAAAAACCAGCUGCACAGCAACUGCUGCACAAGCGACUGAACUUGGCUUUCCUCUCCAUGCAGGCUGGGCUCAGCAGGACAGAACCGUGUGGCACGGCUCACCUCCCUCCACCAGAUACCUUGCUAAACCUGGUCUGUAAUUCACAACUCUCCGUUUUUCAAGAAAACCUCUAAUGCUUAGAAAUAAAAAACAAAAAGCGAGAU
This is a long non-coding RNA of Gallus gallus (chicken), 1207 nucleotides long. NCBI's taxonomy places the organism in Eukaryota, Metazoa, Chordata, Aves, Galliformes, Phasianidae. The record is from Ensembl.